This 405-nucleotide ribosomal RNA is filed under the name uncultured beta proteobacterium. RNAcentral describes it as "bacterial SSU rRNA". It matches the Rfam family "Bacterial small subunit ribosomal RNA", at positions 9 to 416 of the family's 1533-position model. The record is from RNAcentral. Lineage: Bacteria; Pseudomonadati; Pseudomonadota; Betaproteobacteria.
GAGUUUGAUCGUGGCUCAGAUUGAACGCUGGCGGCAUGCCUUACACAUGCAAGUCGAGCGGCAGCGCGGGGGCAACCCUGGCGGCGAGCGGCGAACGGGUGAGUAAUGCAUCGGAACGUGUCCUCUUGUGGGGGAUAACCAGUCGAAAGACUGGCUAAUACCGCAUGAGAUCAAGAGAUGAAAGCAGGGGACCGCAAGGCCUUGCGCGAGAGGAGCGGCCGAUGCCGGAUUAGCUAGUUGGUGGGGUAAAAGCCUACCAAGGCGACGAUCCGUAGCUGGUCUGAGAGGACGACCAGCCACACUGGGACUGAGACACGGCCCAGACUCCUACGGGAGGCAGCAGUGGGGAAUUUUGGACAAUGGGGGCAACCCUGAUCCAGCCAUGCCGCGUGUGUGAAGAAGGCC